Molecule: long non-coding RNA, 1338 nt
Organism: Sarcophilus harrisii (Tasmanian devil)
Lineage: Eukaryota; Metazoa; Chordata; Mammalia; Dasyuromorphia; Dasyuridae
Exons: 3
Source: RefSeq, a predicted model, not a curated record
UAUUUGUUAGCACAGAAAGGAAGGUAGGAUAGCAUAAUAGAGGGUGUGGGAAGGGAGAAGCUACAGUCAACAAUCCCAAAGGCUGUGCCAACCUCUCUCCCAUGUUGUGACUACUGGUAGCCACCACAGGUAUUUCAAAGGGGAAACAAAAUUCAAAUUCACAUUGUUGAUAUCUGGAAACCAGUCUUCAUCAUAGUGCACUUGAAGAUAAAGAGAGAAAAAAAGGAAACAGGGCUCUAUGCUAAAUGAAUAGCCAAGAAUCAAGGUCAAGAGAGAAGGAAAACAAAUGGGGGAAAAAUGAUUAAAGGAAGGCACUUAACUCCUGGGAGGCAGCACAAAGAACUCUAUAGAAAGGAAACAGUCUACAGAAAGCACUUUCACUUCAAGAGAAAGCUGAGAGGAAAGAUCUAAAUAGUAGAUGCUGAUGGACAAUCUGGAAGGAAGGAAGCUAUCAGAAGAUUUUGGAAAUGAUUGUCACUGACUCCUCUUCACCAAAGAGAUAAGUGAAUGUGACUGGUUUAAAAAAUGCUAAGUUCAGUAAAAGAACACUUGUGGAUGAAGAAAUAAAUCUAAAAUGUCUCUGUAGGACAAAAAAUAAACUUUGAUUUGGUUUGCUUUUAAAUUCAAGUCAUAUUUAUACCAAAACCCACAAGCUUCCUCUUAGUUCUAAGAGCAAAUACAAAAUCCUCUGUCUGGCAUUUAAAGUCUUUCCCAUCUUGACCCCCCUCCUAUCUCUCUAGUAUUCUUACACUUUAAUCCCCUCCAUGUAUUCUACAUUAGGCUCCAUUUUUCUCAGCUAUAAAAUUGGGAGAAUUCUACUUCACAGAGUAAUUGAAGAUCAAAUGAGAUAAUUUUAUUUAAUUGUGCUUUGAUAAACAUAAAACUCUUGUGUUAAAAACAAUAGCCAGCAUUUAUAUCACAGUUAAAUAUUUGCAGAGUUAUUAAUAUUACUGUAUAGAUAUCUGAAUCUCCUUUCUAUUAUCUCUCUUAUUCUCAUUCCCCAACAAACUCUUGCCCCCCCCCAAAAAAAAAAUCACCACCUCAAUAGCUUUUAUCAGCAUAGGAAAAUUACUGUUUUCUUCUUCCCCCUUUAUUUUUUCUUUCAAUUUUCUUUAAGGAUCAAUAUUUUUUAAUCCAUAUAUACUUCUAGACUGUAUUGUUUAUGUCAUAGUACAUGUAAAUUUGGAGAAUAGGGAUUAUGUUUAUUUUACCAUCAUUAGAAUCUCAAUACAAUCCUAGCUAUCAAAUUUACUAGCUUUGAGACUUUAGGAAUCAUUUUAACACUCUGGGUGACAGAUUACUAAAAAUGAGGAUGAUAAUUUGUGGAAAGCUCUUUAG